GAUGAAGAACGUAGCGAAAUGCGAUAAGUAAUGUGAAUUGCAGAAUUCAGUGAAUCAUCGAAUCUUUGAACGCACAUUGCGACCGCCAGCAUUCUGGCGGGCAUGCCUGUUCGAGCGUCAUUUCAACCCUCGAGCCCCCCCGGGGGCCUCGGUGUUGGGGGACGGCACACCAGCCGCCCCCGAAAUGCAGUGGCGACCCCGCCGCAGCCUCCCCUGCGUAGUAGCACACACCUCGCACCGGAGCGCGGAGGCGGUCACGCCGUAAAACGCCCAACUUUCUUAGAGUUGACCUCGGAUCAGGUAGGAAUACCCGCUGAACUUAAGCAUAUCAAUAAGCGGAGGA
RNAcentral lists this unclassified non-coding RNA (343 nucleotides) under soil metagenome. RNAcentral's name for it is "partial contains 5.8S ribosomal RNA, internal transcribed spacer 2, and large subunit ribosomal RNA". The stretch from base 1 to 120 matches the Rfam family "5.8S ribosomal RNA", at positions 35 to 154 of the family's 154-position model. The record is from RNAcentral.